RNAcentral lists this ribosomal RNA (253 nucleotides) under uncultured bacterium. RNAcentral's name for it is "partial 16S ribosomal RNA". It matches the Rfam family "Bacterial small subunit ribosomal RNA", at positions 524 to 776 of the family's 1533-position model. The record is from RNAcentral.
UACGAAGGGUGCAAACGUUGCUCGGAAUUAUUGGGCGUAAAGGGCUCGUAGGCGGCCAACUAAGUCAAACGUGAAAUCCCUCGGCUUAACCGGGGAACUGCGUCUGAUACUGGAUGGCUUGAGUUUGGGAGAGGGAUGCGGAAUUCCAGGUGUAGCGGUGAAAUGCGUAGAUAUUCGGAGGAACACCAGUGGCGAAGGCGGCUCACUGGUCCGGUACUGACGCUGAGGUGCGAAAGCGUGGGGAGCAAACAGG